CACACGCACACACAUAUACAGCAGUAAAGUCUUCUUCAGUCUUCAUUUUAUAUAGACUACUUAACACUGAGGCAAACUGCCAUGGCUCUGUGACUCUCUGACAUCAAACAGCUCCCAAAUGCCACAAUGCGCCAUCCUCAUAUUUACUAGCUUCUCUUAGAGUAAUUCCUUAUUGUCUCUCUUUUCUCGGUUGACUGGUUCCCUGAGGAUAUAAGGCUCAUAUCAGCGACCUCUUCUUCCAUCCUUCAGAGCAAGUCUAAAAGCAGCUGAUUAUCAUCCUGUUUGUUGGUUCUGAAUUGAGCCAGUCCUAAAGGACCAGGACUUCAUUUUCUGUUGUGAAGAACACAACACAACACAACACACCAGGUCUAGUGCAGUUGUUCCAGAUUCUUCCAAGGAGUCUUCCAUCCCCCGACUCCAAGUCAGAAGGAAACAUGCCCAGGGCUCCGAGCAUCCGGCUGGCAGUGGCCAUAGCCUUCAAGGUGUUAUUAGGGAUGUCUAACCCUAGAAAAAUUGAGGGGCAUUUGACGAGAUAGUAUCCAAACAGCCUGGCUGACAGGAGGCAGCGGAAAACUGAAGACCAGGAGAUUUUUCCAAAAUGGCCCCCUGACAUGCACAUCUAAGGCUGGCCCUGAUUGACAUCAAGUGCAGCAAUUAAACCCACCAGCUGAUGAAGAAUGGAAGCUCCAGUGAGUUGCGAUGCUUCCAGGGCAAUGAUCUGAGAGCCCGGAGAAAAGCAGAACUCUGAGGGGAGCUAUAGGUGACACCCGGCUGCGGCACCUAAGGUGAUCUAGGAUCGAGAGCUUCAGGAGAAAAUGCUUCACUUGGGGCAGAAGGACUGUGAGAAGACAGAUGGCUGGAAGGUUAUAGGUCAUCAAGGACCAACUCCGGUGAUAAACAUUGGAAAUUUCCCCGUCUAUCUCCAUGGAAGGGAAAGAGGAUGAAGAAGCUCCACGGAGCAUGGUGAUUUUUGCACACAGUUGCAUCCUCUGCAGAGCCAAUCUUCAACACCUGUGUUUAACUGAGUCUGAAGGAAACACCAUGACGUAUAUGAACAGAUGACGUUGGGUAGCUAAACAUUCUGCCUUGAUACAAUACACAUUGUCAACAAGCACAAAAUCAAAAUUCAAAUGAGGUGGUCUCUGCUGAGACUGGGAACGUGCUAGAUUUGACCGUGGGAGGAAGAAUCAACACAGGAACAAGACUCUCGGUGGCAGAACAUCUGAUAUGUGCUUUCACCAUCUCUGGCUUUGGUUCUUAGUGGUCAACUGUAGUCUAAAACUUUGAUGGAACACUGUGAAAACAGGAAACAAGCAAAGCCUAAGUUUUCAAACGCACAAUUCUGAGUGGCGUGGUGUCAUCUUUCAUUGUCUUACUUAAUCUCUGCCUGGAUAAAAAUCACCCUCUGUGCAGCGUAUCCACCCAGUAUGCACUACCUACUCAUCAGUUCCUUCAUUGUGUUCUUGUUUAUCAGAUCAAUUAUUAUAGAGUCGUACCUGUGCUCCCUCACCCUUACGUCACUGAAGAGUGAUCAAAAAAUGCAAAAAAGAAUGGUGACACUAGGGAUUCAGGUGUGCCACAGAGAGGCCACCAAAUGCUUCCUUUAAGUGAUUUUGUUAAAAAUAAAAGACAACUCCAACGGACUGCAAAAAAAAAAAAAAAAACCUUUAUUCUGGGACCAUUAGUACCUGAUGUUGGUUCCAAUCUUCAAUCUGUGAAAUUGCGAAUGAGAACAAGAAAUUCAUUCUAAUGUUGCUACUGUUUUAGCCUGAAUGGCCUCACUUAAGAUGAAACAAACAUAGUUUCAAGCACUGAGAGUUCUUGGGCUAUUUCUUACAUGGAAAGGAAGAGGCUAGUGUACAGAAAACUAUUUAUAACAUAAUACAAAAUAAGGGCUUCCCAGUCUAACUCUGCUGCAGAAUAUCUAUUUCCUUGCAAAUAAGACUAGUCCAGCCUCCCUUCAAGAAUGAGUAAUGACCAAUACAGCAGAACUCUCUAGCAGGUCACAGGGUGUAGAAAGACAGGGAAGUUCCCAGGCAUCAGAGAUAGAAGCUAAGGUGAAUGGAAUGUGGUGAUGAGUGAUGGGAAUGGCAGGAUGCUGGCAUGCAGCUCAACCCCGAUGAUCAUGGCCCAUGAAGUUUCUUCUCAUCCACUGUGUCUUUGAACCAUUGAGUAGAGAGAUGGUUCCUUGUGUGGACUGCUUUACUGAGAAGUGGAAUCUUGGUGAUCUUGAUGAUUCUGGCCUAAGAAGACAAGAGCUUGAGUGUGGGUGACCUUGUCUUUACUGAAGGUCCAUAUGAUGGCACAGAUUAGGGAGUAUACCUUCUGAAAGGGAUCCAGGAACAAGCAGGAGUUGUAGGUGAUCCUCAGUCAGCCGUGAGCACCAAAAAUGCAACCUCUGUCCCAGGCUGGUAAGAGAAUGGAUUCUCCCACCAACUCACAGGAACAGGAAGUCAGUCUUUCCUAGCUGAACCUCCUGGUGGGGCCACGACUACAGACAGACUCCUGACUUCUGCAGAACAGAGCCAGGAGACACGCUGUCCUCUAUCCGCCAGCUUCCAAGCUUCAAGACAGAGUUCCAAAGGGACUGCUGCCUUAAGCUACUGAUUUUUCAGGUAUUAAAUCUAAUAUGGUGAGGGAGUUAGAGAGGGGCAAUUCAGCACGCGCUGUUGGGACAGCUUUCCAGCUACUUGGGGUUUGUUAAUAUGACUCUUUAUAAAACGCUUCACUGCAAAAUCAAUUCUGGAGUGAUGAAGAAACUAGACAGAAGAGAUAAACAGCGUUGUCUUCCUCAAGUCCAUCUGCUCUCCUGAGGGAUUCUAGACUGGGCUCCAUCAGGCUGCUCUGGGAACUGGCAGCUGAGGCCAUAGGUGGGACCUGGAGGAGCCCCUUUCUGGUUUGUAGACAGAAGCCUUGAGAGCACUGUCCUGAGAAAGAGGGCAUAGUUCUCAUUGUUGAUAGAACAUACAUCAUGUCCUAGGAUACAGCCUCAGGGCCCUGCCUGACACUGUCCUAUUGAGGCUCUGGAAUUCAGUCUAUGAGUUUUAUUUGUGUUUUUAAAAAACACUUUUUAACAUUUAUUCUUUGGGAAUUUUAUGCAUGUAGUGUAUUAUUGUAUGUUUCCUCUUUCCAACUCUCUCCAGACCCUCUCAACAUGUUAUCCCAUGUUUGUUUGAUAUAAAAUUUUAAUGGGACAGGGAUGUUAAGUCCAUAUUACAUACCUUGUCAAUGUAUAAGUUCUCUGGUUUCAGGAUGAAGUGCCAUUUUGGAGAGUGAAAAUAAGAGAUCAUUUACAUUUCUAUCUUUAAAAAGAAAUUUUAUGUUGUAAUAUUUCCACAGUUGAGAGCCCUUCUAGUAUAUAAUUGCUGUAGAAUUAACAGGUACAGAAAGGAUCUUUAUCGUGUGGGCAAGAGGUAAGUGUGUUCAAGGUUCAUGUUCAAGGGCCACAGGCACGUAAACAUAGAGUGAAAGAUCUCACAUCAAAUUUCUGGGUCAGACUCUUCUGGAUGGCAAACAUAUUGGCGAUUGAUUUUAGGAUUUCUUCUGUGGUUUCUAUCCUUUCUCCGUGUACAUUUUCUACAAUCCUGUGGUAAUGUUAUAAAUGGGAUAUUUGCACACAGAAUAAUAUUUCAGUCAUAAUCACAAAGGCAACAAGAUGAACAGUUUUGCCUCUGUAAUAUUUGUACAUUUCUUCAAGUAUUGAGGAAUUAGAUAAUAAUAUUAAAACAUUG
This is a long non-coding RNA of Mus musculus (house mouse), 3731 nucleotides long. RefSeq annotates it as predicted gene 16086. The transcript has 6 exons. The record is from RefSeq and is a predicted model, not a curated record. Lineage: Eukaryota; Metazoa; Chordata; Mammalia; Rodentia; Muridae.